UACGGAGGGUGCAAGCGUUAUCCGGAUUUACUGGGUUUAAAGGGUGUGUAGGCGGGCUGUUAAGUCAGUGGUGAAAUCUCCGGGCUCAACCCGGAAACUGCCGUUGAUACUAAUGGUCUUGAAUAUUGUUGAGGUAGGCGGAAUAAGUCAUGUAGCGGUGAAAUGCAUAGAUAUGACUUAGAACACCGAUUGCGAAGGCAGCUUACUAAACAAUUAUUGACGCUGAGGCACGAAAGCGUGGGGAUCAAACAGG
RNAcentral lists this ribosomal RNA (253 nucleotides) under uncultured bacterium. RNAcentral describes it as "partial 16S ribosomal RNA". It matches the Rfam family "Bacterial small subunit ribosomal RNA", at positions 524 to 776 of the family's 1533-position model. The record is from RNAcentral.